AUUAAACGCUGGCGGCAUGCCUUACACAUGCAAGUCGAACGGCAGCACGGGGGCAACCCUGGUGGCGAGUGGCGGACGGGUGAGUAAUGCAUCGGAACGUGCCCUGAAGUGGGGGAUAACGCAGCGAAAGCUACGCUAAUACCGCAUAUUCUGUGAGCAGGAAAGCAGGGGAUCGCAAGACCUUGCGCUUUGGGAGCGGCCGAUGUCGGAUUAGCUAGUUGGUGGGGUAAAGGCCUACCAAGGCGACGAUCCGUAGCGGGUCUGAGAGGAUGAUCCGCCACACUGGGACUGAGACACGGCCCAGACUCCUACGGGAGGCAGCAGUGGGGAAUUUUGGACAAUGGGCGGAAGCCUGAUCCAGCCAUGCCGCGUGAGUGAAGAAGGCC
RNAcentral lists this ribosomal RNA (386 nucleotides) under uncultured bacterium. RNAcentral describes it as "bacterial SSU rRNA". It matches the Rfam family "Bacterial small subunit ribosomal RNA", at positions 29 to 416 of the family's 1533-position model. The record is from RNAcentral.